This 497-nucleotide ribosomal RNA is filed under the name uncultured bacterium. RNAcentral's name for it is "partial 16S ribosomal RNA". It matches the Rfam family "Bacterial small subunit ribosomal RNA", at positions 28 to 507 of the family's 1533-position model. The record is from RNAcentral.
GACGAACGCUGGCGGCGUGCCUAAUACAUGCAAGUUGAGCGCUGAAGGUUGGUACUUGUACCAACUGGAUGAGCAGCGAACGGGUGAGUAACGCGUGGGGAAUCUGCCUUUGAGCGGGGGACAACAUUUGGAAACGAAUGCUAAUACCGCAUAAAAACUUUAAACACAAGUUUUAAGUUUGAAAGAUGCAAUUGCAUCACUCAAAGAUGAUCCCGCGUUGUAUUAGCUAGUUGGUGAGGUAAAGGCUCACCAAGGCGAUGAUACAUAGCCGACCUGAGAGGGUGAUCGGCCACAUUGGGACUGAGACACGGCCCAAACUCCUACGGGAGGCAGCAGUAGGGAAUCUUCGGCAAUGGACGAAAGUCUGACCGAGCAACGCCGCGUGAGGGAAGAAGGUUUUCGGAUCGUAAAACUCGGUUGGUAGAGAAGAACGUUGGUGAGAGUGGAAAGCUCAUCAAGUGACGGUAACUACCCAGAAAGGGACGGCUAACUACGUG